UAGUUUCUUGUCUGUUAGGUUCCUCUUGUCUCUCCUCUGAGUUGCCAGUAUGUGUCUGUUGUGUCAUCUAUGUUCAACUCUGUCUCCUUCCAUGUCGCUCGCCUCCUCGUUUCCUGGGUCUCAGUCAUGCCUUUGCAUUUUGUCUCCCCUUGGCUUACAUAUUCCCUCCUUGUGUGUCACUCCUUGUCUCCCCUCUUUGUGUUCAUUUGUAUUCAUUUAUGUUCUCCCUAUUCUUCCCUGUCCCUCACUCGCGCUCUUUCUUUCUCCCUUGACUAUUUCCGUUUUCCCUCUUUGUGUCGCCUUCCUUUGUGUCUCCAGUCAAUCCUGUACUCUUGUGCAUUCCUCCCUCUCGGUCAUGCGUCUUGCGAUGUGCUCAGUGUGUUCAAUUUUGCUUCCCUCUGCGUCAAUAUGUCUGUCCCAGCUGUGUUCCCAUGUGUGUCCACUGCCCUCACCACCGCUGUGUGCAUUUAGUGUGUAGUUUUCUCAUCUACUCCAAUUAUGAACUCGACUACGGCAUGAACACUACAGACAGCAAUCGUUACUGCAACAAGACGCUCUACCUGUUUGGAUUUUGUUGCAUCACCCUGACCUACAUCCUCAUAGGUGUUCUUGUUUUUACAUUUUUUUUUGCUCGCUGCACCAACCAGAUGGAGGUUUACGAUGAUGAGGCUCGGCCACUGCUGUGGCGCUAAUCAUAUGAAUGCAUAUAUGUUUGUGUGUUCCCCACCUCCUCUGAGCCAAGUGGACCAAUACUGAUGAAACAGAUUAGAAUGGUGUCACAAUAAAAAAUGUCAUAUCAAAUAUAUCACACUGUAAUGGACAUAUACUACUACUAAUAAUAAUGACGCUGACUGAAAUAUAAUUAUAAGCAAACAACAGACUAAAUAUUAUAUUAAUAUUUUAAUGUGUGCUUUAUGUAUAUACAGAACUUCAUACAUUUAAUGUUGGUUAAUACAGCAACAUGUAGUUGUUGAUCUUUUGUUAGAGAAAUCUUACAAUUAACAAUUCAUGUUUAAUAUUUUAUCAUAAUUUAUUAAACUCCAUGUACUUUGAAGCUUUAUGAAUACAAACAAAGAUGUUUAUUAUGUAAAUCAUAUGUCGUUCAAUAAGGAGAGAUCAUUAUUACAUUCAUCUGGAAGAAGUGGACAUGAUUUAUUGAGACACAGAAUUCAGUUAAGACACUGAUGACCCAUCACAGCAGAGUAAAUGAUCAUGAUCUUUCCUGUUUAACAAACGUAUAUGAAAUGUGUGAUUUUGUUUAUUUGCCAAUAUCCAUGCUGUUUCUUUUUUGUUUAAUUGUAAACAAACUAAAUAAAUAAAUAAAAGGCUGCCCUUUUUAUUACCCUGUUA
This is a long non-coding RNA of Astatotilapia calliptera (eastern happy), 1350 nucleotides long. The record is from Ensembl. NCBI's taxonomy places the organism in Eukaryota, Metazoa, Chordata, Actinopteri, Cichliformes, Cichlidae.